UAGAAGCUAAUUUUUAUGGGUCCUGCAUACUUAAUAUUUUUCCAUGAAGUUAAUAUUUUUCAGCAAUUGAAAUGGUAAAAAAGAAGUAUAAGCAUACAUUAAAAACACUCUUCACAUCCAGAUUUUAACGAAAGGCCAGUGAAGAGAAGCAAGACUGGUAAAUCAAAUGACCUAAUGUCUUCAAAAGGAGUUGAACAAUGGCAUCACUAGAUAAACAUAAUAGAACACUGAGUAGCAACAAGAAAACACAGAUACAAGGAAAACCCUAAAAAUCAAGGUUGAAUUGGUGUGGGGGAAUUUUUCCCUGUCAUAGCCAGUUUGUGAAUAACGUUGUCUAUUAAUCAUAUCAUAUCCCAAUGUUAAUGCUAAUAUAGCUGUAUCCAUAAUAAAUAUAACACCUUGCUUCUGCUUAAGUGAAACACCUUUGGUGGUUUGGUGGCAAAUAGUCAGAAGAUGGAAGAGGAAUGGAUGAGAUUUAGAAUGAAACUAGUGAACAAUAAAUUACAUAUUGAUGCUAAGGAUAAGCACUACCGCCAAUGCUUCAACAUAUUCAAAAGUGUUGCAACACUAUUCCAUCCUUCUCCAUUCUCUCAAGAAGUCAUGUUCAACGUCUCCCAUCUUUCCUCUCAUGGUCACAUCCCGAACAACAAGAAUGCUACGAAUAUAUUAAUUAAUAAAUGAGUGUUUAGUAAUCAAUUCACAAAAUCAUAACCUAAACAAACAGAGAAAGAAUCAAUCACCAUCAUUCAAGCAUUUUAUCAAACACUUAGUGAGCAUUUGAAACAUGAGAAAGUGAAAAUGUAAUAAUAGAAAACAAAGCAAAAUACAAAAACAAAAUAAUGCAAGAGUGUUAGUGAGAGAAAAUAAAAGGAAAUAAUAAAAUUACCUGCAUUGCUCUUUCUUCUGAUAGGUUUUAUAUAUACAGCUUCUUCUUGAGUUGGGGAGGAGGUGGUGGUGGCGGCGAAAGUGUAGGGUUGCAUUGGAAUACGUGAGGGGAAAGGAGGAACAAGACAAGAAGUUGGUAUUAAGAGAAAUUGGUGUGUUCGGUUCGGCUUCAGUUUUAUCUGAAGGUGGGCUUUUCUGUUGGGGUUGUGGCAGGCGUGAAGCUGAGGAGGGUGGGGAAUGAAUACGAGUAUUUCUCUAAGAUAUCUCUAGAGAGAUGAGAG
This 1166-nucleotide long non-coding RNA is filed under the name Phaseolus vulgaris (common bean). Its description in RNAcentral is "long non-coding RNA (PVUL_LNC000249)". Lineage: Eukaryota; Viridiplantae; Streptophyta; Magnoliopsida; Fabales; Fabaceae. The record is from RNAcentral.